UACGGGGGGGGCAAGCGUUGUUCGGAAUUACUGGGCGUAAAGGGCUCGUAGGCGGCCAACUAAGUCAGACGUGAAAUCCCUCGGCUUAACCGGGGAACUGCGUCUGAUACUGGAUGGCUUGAGUUUGGGAGAGGGAUGCGGAAUUCCAGGUGUAGCGGUGAAAUGCGUAGAUAUCUGGAGGAACACCGGUGGCGAAGGCGGCAUCCUGGACCGACACUGACGCUGAUGAGCGAAAGCCAGGGGAGCAAACGGG
This 253-nucleotide ribosomal RNA is filed under the name uncultured bacterium. RNAcentral's name for it is "partial 16S ribosomal RNA". It matches the Rfam family "Bacterial small subunit ribosomal RNA", at positions 524 to 776 of the family's 1533-position model. The record is from RNAcentral.